CCUACGGGGGGCAGCAGUGGGGGAUAUUGCACAAUGGGGGAAACCCUGAUGCAGCGACGCCGCGUGGGUGAAGAAGUAUUUCGGUAUGUAAAGCCCUAUCAGCAGGGAAGAAAGAAGACGGUACCUGACUAAGAAGCCCCGGCUAACUACGUGCCAGCAGCCGCGGUAAUACGUAGGGGGCGAGCGUUAUCCGGAUUCACUGGGUGUAAAGGGAGCGUAGACGGCCGUGCAAGCCAGGAGUGAAAGCCCGGGGCCCAACCCCGGGACUGCUCUUGGAACUGUGCGGCUGGAGUGCGGGAGGGGCAGGCGGAAUUCCUGGUGUAGCGGUGAAAUGCGUAGAUAGCAGGAGGAACACCGGCGGCGAAGGCGGCCUGCUGGACCGCGACUGACGUUGAGGCUCGAAAGCGUGGGGAGCGAACAGGAUUAGAUACCCUAGUAGUC
RNAcentral lists this ribosomal RNA (441 nucleotides) under uncultured bacterium. RNAcentral's name for it is "partial 16S ribosomal RNA". It matches the Rfam family "Bacterial small subunit ribosomal RNA", at positions 338 to 795 of the family's 1533-position model. The record is from RNAcentral.